This is an RNA transcript of Bubalus bubalis (water buffalo), 1734 nucleotides long. It is a transcript of the gene named transmembrane protein 156, with no coding region annotated. NCBI's taxonomy places the organism in Eukaryota, Metazoa, Chordata, Mammalia, Artiodactyla, Bovidae. The record is from RefSeq and is a predicted model, not a curated record. The transcript is spliced from 14 exons.
AACUUAAAGUGCUGCAGAGAUGAAACGUAAACCAGGAAGAAACAUGCCAUCGGUAUACUUCAUGGGAACACAUGUACCAUGUGAAGAGACAUGACAAAAACAGCCCUCCUUAAAUUACUUUUGGCCAUAAUGAUCAUGUUCAUUUUAAUUUUGCCAGAAUAUUUCAAGGCACCAAAAGGAAACAUGUUGGAACUAUCAUGUCUGAAAGUAUAUUUACAACAGAAUUUCAGCUAUUCAUUCUUCUCUACAAAUGCUUCUUUUGUGACCUUUCUGCAACCAAUAAGAGAAACUCAGACUAUUACGGGAAUCUUUCUAAAUCACUCCAACUUUCAAAACUUCACCAGGAUUUGCCAAGAUAUCACAAGUGAACUCAAGACAUGCUUCUCAUGUAUGGCUUGUGAGUCCAAAGGAAACACUGAUUUUAUUUUUCAGGAACAACCAUCAAAAGUUCUUAUCAUGAGAGGAUCAAUGGAAGUGAAGUCAAAUAAUUUUCACUCACCUUGUCAACAUUUUAACUUCACUGUAACUCCUACAGUUGACCUGGAGGAAUAUAAUCUUACCUGUAAUCUAAAAACCCACACUGGAAGGUCAGCAAUCAAGGAGGAAGAUCCCACUGAGGCAACAUCUGUAAACCGUACUUGUAGAAUUAUGGAACACCCACAUAAUUGUAUAAACAUUUCUUUCCAUUUAGAAAUGGAUGCAAAAAAUUCUAUCUGUUCCAUGAAGAUCACUUGGUAUGUUCUAGUUCUAUUAGUUUUUAUAGUUUUGCUCAUCUUCAUUAUCAACAAAAUACUUGAAGGCCACAGAAGAGUGCAGAAGUGGCAGAUAGGUCAUAAAUACGAACCUACAUCUGCCCUCUUACGAGGAAGUGAUUCUGAGAAACUACGAACAUUGAACGUGCGGGUUAUUUCAGCUUAUAUUCAGGUGGAAAAGCUAAUUAAAGUUACCCUGAGAUACCACUUCACUUUCAUCUAUCAGACUGACAAAAAUCCAGAAGUAGACAUCAUACUCUAUGGCAAAGGGCAAGAGGUACUCAUAUUUCACUAAGCAGAGACCACAAAGAGGCUGCCGAUGACUCCAGUCAAGGACGUGCUUCCUCCAAUACCAGAACUAGAAGUUACUUCCGCGGUGCAUCAGCAAGAUCAACAUACACGACUAUCCUUAUGAACUCCUCUGGGCAAUUUGGACUGAACCCUUCUGAAGAGUACUCGUAACUCUAUUCUGGGAAUGAGUUAACUGGUGAGUCAGGCUCAGAUCUGGAAUACUUCAGCAGGAAUUUAGGGGUGUCACACUCUCUGAGACUGGUUCUGUUCACCAUACUAUCCCUGGCAGCUGGUAGAACGCUCGGCUCACAAAGAAACAGGAAAUCAUCUCCAUUCCCCACCCUAUUUUGGCAAACAGACAAAGUAUCGAUGCCCUAGCAGUGACUGACCAGCUGCUGCCUUCGCAGCAAUCCAGAUGGAGAUGACCAGUCAAGUGACAGACUUGUUACUUUCAGCAAGCAAGCCUGUUAUUUCACACAUAACUUCCUUUGAGUAAAUAGAUCUUGCAGUCUGAAGGAGGGAGGCCCACAUGAACCGACAACAGCCACACCAAGUGUGAACGCAGUAAUGGGAACUCCUCUUUUGCAACCGUCCUUCAGAAACUCUUAGAAAUCACCUGGAUAGAUGGCCAGGCAACCUCUGUGAAUCCAGAGACCGAUGUGAAAUUCCAAAAUGGUCACAGUGAAUGGAG